GAUGAACGCUGGCGGCGUGCCUAAUACAUGCAAGUCGAGCGAACAGACGAGGAGCUUGCUCCUCUGACGUUAGCGGCGGACGGGUGAGUAACACGUGGAUAACCUACCUAUAAGACUGGGAUAACUUCGGGAAACCGGAGCUAAUACCGGAUAAUAUAUUGAACCGCAUGGUUCAAUAGUGAAAGACGGUUUUGCUGUCACUUAUAGAUGGAUCCGCGCCGCAUUAGCUAGUUGGUAAGGUAACGGCUUACCAAGGCAACGAUGCGUAGCCGACCUGAGAGGGUGGUCGGCCACACUGGAACUGAGACCCGGUCCAGACUCCUACGGGAGGCAGCAGUAGGGAAUCUUCCGCAAUGGGCGAAAGCCUGACGGAGCAACGCCGCGUGAGUGAUGAAGGUCUUCGGAUCGUAAAACUCUGUUAUUAGGGAAGAACAAAUGUGUAAGUAACUAUGCACGUCUUGACGGUACCUAAUCAGAAAGCCACGGCUAACUACGUG
RNAcentral lists this ribosomal RNA (497 nucleotides) under uncultured bacterium. RNAcentral's name for it is "partial 16S ribosomal RNA". It matches the Rfam family "Bacterial small subunit ribosomal RNA", at positions 28 to 507 of the family's 1533-position model. The record is from RNAcentral.